RNAcentral lists this transfer RNA (74 nucleotides) under Candidatus Pseudomonas adelgestsugas. RNAcentral describes it as "tRNA-Pro". It matches the Rfam family "tRNA". From Rfam's summary of the family: Transfer RNA (tRNA) molecules are approximately 80 nucleotides in length. Their secondary structure includes four short double-helical elements and three loops (D, anti-codon, and T loops). Further hydrogen bonds mediate the characteristic L-shaped molecular structure. tRNAs have two regions of fundamental functional importance: the anti-codon, which is responsible for specific mRNA codon recognition, and the 3' end, to which the tRNAs corresponding amino acid is attached (by aminoacyl-tRNA synthetases). tRNAs cope with the degeneracy of the genetic code in two manners: having more than one tRNA (with a specific anti-codon) for a particular amino acid; and 'wobble' base-pairing, i.e. permitting non-standard base-pairing at the 3rd anti-codon position. The record is from RNAcentral. Lineage: Bacteria; Pseudomonadati; Pseudomonadota; Gammaproteobacteria; Pseudomonadales; Pseudomonadaceae.
CGGGGUAUAGCGCAGUUAGGUAGCGCGCCUGCUUUGGGAGCAGGAUGUCAGGAGUUCGAAUCCCCUUACCCCGA